RNAcentral lists this ribosomal RNA (1430 nucleotides) under uncultured bacterium. RNAcentral describes it as "bacterial SSU rRNA". It matches the Rfam family "Bacterial small subunit ribosomal RNA". The record is from RNAcentral.
AGAGUUUGAUCCUGGCUCAGGAUGAACGCUGGCGGCGUGCCUAAUACAUGCAAGUCGAGCGGAAACACUUCGGGUGUCGAGCGGCGGACGGGUGAGUAACGCGUGGGAACAUACCCCCAACUGAGGGAUAAGCCAUCGAAAGAUGGUCUAAUACCGCAUACGGUCUACGGAUUAAAGUCUUCGGACGGUUUGGGAAUGGCCUGCGUCUGAUUAGCUAGUUGGUGAGGUAAAUGCUUACCAAGGCUAUGAUCAGUAGCUGGUUUGAGAGGAUGAUCAGCCACACUGGAACUGAGACACGGUCCAGACUUCUACGGAAGGCAGCAGUAGGGAAUCUUCCACAAUGGACGAAAGUCUGAUGGAGCAACGCCGCGUGCAGGAUGAAUGCCUUAGGGUUGUAAACUGCUUUUAUAGGUGAAGAAUAUGACGGUAACCUAUGAAUAAGGAUCGGCUAACUCCGUGCCAGCAGCCGCGGUCAGACGGAGGAUCCAAGCGUUAUUCGGAAUGACUGGGCGUAAAGAGUUGCGUAGGUGGCUUUGUAAGCGUGUGAUGAAAUUUUGGGGCUCAACCCCGAGACUGUUAUGCGAACUGCAAGGCUUGAGUAUGUGAGGGGUAGCUGGAAUUCCUAGUGUAGGAGUGGAAUCCGUAGAUAUUAGGAGGAACACCAAUGGCGUAGGCAGGCUACUGGCGCAUUACUGACACUGAGGCACGAAAGCGUGGGGAGCGAACGGGAUUAGAUACCCCGGUAGUCCACGCCGUAAACGAUGGAUGCUAGCAGUACGAGGUAUCGACCCCUUGUGUUGCGAAGCUAACGCGUUAAGCAUCCCGCCUGGGGAGUACGGUCGCAAGAUUAAAACUCAAAGGAAUUGACGGGGACCCGCACAAGCGGUGGAGCGUGUUGUUUAAUUGGAUGAUAAGCCAAGAACCUUACCCAGACUUGACAUCCUUGGAAGGACUACGAAAGUAGACUGUGCCUUUUGGAACCAAGUGACAGGUGUUGCAUGGCCGUCGUCAGCUCGUGUCGUGAGAUGUUGGGUUAAGUCCCGCAACGAGCGCAACCCUUAUGUUUAGUUGGAUUUUUCUAAACAGACUGCCUCGGUAACGGGGAGGAAGGGGGGGAUGAUGUCAGGUCCGUAUUACCCUUACGUCUGGGGCUACAAACACGCUACAAUGGACAGUACAAUGGGCAGCCAAGUCGCGAGACGGAGCAAAUCCCACCAAAGCUGUUCUCAGUUCGGAUAGCAGGCUGAAACUCGCCUGCUUGAAGCCGGAAUCGCUAGUAACCUGCGAGUCAGCACAUCGCGGUGAAUACGUUCCCGGGUCUUGUACACACCGCCCGUCACACCACGAAAGUCGCCAACACCCGAAGUACGACGUUUGUCGUCCUAAGGUGGGGGAGGUGAUUGGGGUGAAGUCGUAACAAGGUAACCGUA